CUUGACCUCGGAUCAGGUAGGAAUA
This 25-nucleotide non-coding RNA is filed under the name Drosophila melanogaster (fruit fly). RNAcentral also lists the same sequence under 4 other names. The record is from RNAcentral. Lineage: Eukaryota; Metazoa; Arthropoda; Insecta; Diptera; Drosophilidae.